Molecule: non-coding RNA, 1501 nt
Organism: Lepisosteus oculatus (spotted gar)
Lineage: Eukaryota; Metazoa; Chordata; Actinopteri; Semionotiformes; Lepisosteidae
Source: the annotation of a RefSeq genome assembly
CAGAGCCUCAGCAGUCCUGUCAGACGCCAUGGUCUUCAGCACAGCUCUCCUCACAGCCCUGCUGCUCGCUCUCCCUGGCUCCCAGGGACUUGUGAUGACCCAGCAGAAAUCUCUGUCUGUGUCUCCCGGAGCUUCGGCUAAAAUAUCCUGUGCUAUUGAUAGUCACAGGAGCUGGGUUAUUACCUGGUACCAGCAGAAGACCGGCAGUGCUCCUCGGUUCCUUCUGUAUGACUCAACCCGAGGGUCUGGAACGCCAGAGAGAUUUACUGCUUCUGAAGAGUCCUCUGGCAAAAUGGAAUAUCUGAACAUCGCCAGCGUUCAGCAGGAGGACGAGGCCACCUACUACUGCGCCUGCCACGGCUGUCCCUCAGACGGGGUGACAGUCUUUGGAGGGGGAACGAGGCUUGAUGUCGGUGGCCAGUCUUCCAGCCCCCCCACGCUGACCCUGAUGCCCCCCUCCCAGCGGGAGCUGUCUGAGCGUGGCAGUGCCACCCUGGUGUGCCUGGCGCAGGGCUUCUACCCCGACUCGGUCAGCGUGUCCUGGGCGGAGGAUGGCCAGGCGCGCAGCGGUGCCGCGGUCCAGACCAGCGCGGCCCAGCGCCAGCCCGACGGCACCUUCUCUCUCACCAGCCUCAUGUCACUGACCGCUGCCCAGUGGAGCUCGGGGCACUCCUUCUCCUGCCAGCUGAGCCACCCAGCACUGAGCUCCCCGCUGACCAGGAGCGUGAGCCUAGCAGAGUGCAACCAGGGUUAGAGAGAAUAACUGUCCUGGCCGCUAUCCCUGACCCUAACACUGCUGCUGCUGAAAAUAACUGUCCUGGCCUUCGCUCUGUCCCCCCUACUGACCGCUAUCCCUGACCCUAACACUGCUGCUGAAAAUAACUGUCCUGGCCUUUGCUCUGUCCACCCUACUGACCGCUAUCCCUGACCCUCAUCCCCAUCCCCAUACUGUUUCUAACAAUGACCUUUAAUCCUCAAACACGUGGCUGUUGAUUAACAGCCUGAGCACAGCAGUGAUCUAAGACUAGAGGACAUCGCACUGCAUAUUGACACCUCCACUGUAGCAUACCGCCCAACACAGCCUGCCUACUGAUGUCAGUACUGCCACUGACCUCGAUACUGGCCCUGUUACUGACUCCCUUCCUUCCCGUGACCCUGACAAUACUGCUGCUGACACCCACGCCCACUGUUCAUGCGGGACAACGACCUCUAACCCCAAAAGAAAAGAUCUUUGUCUUCAGCUACAGUGGACUCAGCAGCCGUCAGCAGGGCCUCAGGCCUGCCAGCAGUACUGACAGCUACGGGCGGCUGAUGCCGCGCUCUCCGAUGUGCCUGUAUGUGUUCAUGUGUAUGUCUGACCUCUGACCCCUGCUGUCUUACUGACCCUGUGCAUGUUCCUGCUCUGCUGACUGUCUCGCUGGGGUGGUCCUCUGCUGUGAUCUCCAUCCCUGCACCCGGCUCUGACUGCGUCUGUACCUAAUAAAGCAUUGAGAAAGUCUCA